Molecule: ribosomal RNA, 492 nt
Filed under: uncultured bacterium
Lineage: Bacteria
Description: partial 16S ribosomal RNA
Rfam family: Bacterial small subunit ribosomal RNA
Source: RNAcentral
AGUGAACGCUGGCGGUAGGCCUAACACAUGCAAGUCGAACGGCAGCACAGUAAGAUCUUGCUCUUACGGGUGGCGAGUGGCGGACGGGUGAGGAAUACAUCGGAAUCUACUUUUUCUUGGGUGAUAACGUAGGGAAACUUACGCUAAUACCGCAUACGAUCUACGGGUGAAAUCAGUGGUUCUUCGCACCUUUCGCGUUUGUAUUAGCCGAUGUCGGAUUAGCUAGUUGGCUGGGUAAAGGCCCACCAAGGCGACGAUCCGUAGCUGGUCUGAGAGGAUGAUCAGCCACACUGGAACUGAGACACGGUCCAGACUCCUACGGGAGGCAGCAGUGGGGAAUAUUGGACAAUGGGCGCAAGCCUGAUCCAGCCAUACCGCGUGGGUGAAGAAGGCCUUCGGGUUGUAAAGCCCUUUUGUUGGGAAAGAAAAGAAGCAGGAUAAUACCCCGAUGUUCUGACGGUACCCAAAGAAUAAGCACCGGCUAACUUCGUG